AUGGGAGAGGCUCCGAAAUCCACCCAAAUCAUCGAUCUCCAGCCCCCCGGGGGGUCCCUGCGCCUCCUCUGCCGCGCCUCGGGGUUCAAUUUCGGGAAUUUUGGAAUGUUCUGGAUCCGCCAGAGACCCGGGCAGGGGCUGGAAUACGUCGCAGGGAUCAGCAGCGAUGGCAGCAGCACCAGAUACGCGCCGUCGGUGAAGGGCCGGGCGACGAUCUCCAGGGCCAACGGGCAGAGCUCGGUGACGCUGACCAUGAACGGCCUCAAGGACGAGGAUUCCGGCUCCUGUUUCUGUGCCAAACGUGCUUACAGUGGUGGUUAUGCUGCUGAUGCUGCUGCUGGUUUUCCUUUUGCCCCCACCGCCAUCACCCUCCUGGCCCCAAAGCUCAGCCCGGGGCCCGCUCGGGGCCGUUUUGGCUCCUGA
Vidua chalybeata is the source of this 423-nucleotide non-coding RNA. The record is from the annotation of a RefSeq genome assembly. NCBI's taxonomy places the organism in Eukaryota, Metazoa, Chordata, Aves, Passeriformes, Viduidae.